UGGGCAACCUGCCCCUAGCACUGGGAUAACCCCGGGAAACCGGAGCUAAUACCGGAUACGACCACAGUUGGCAUCAACCUAUGGUGGAAAGAUUCAUCGGCUAGGGAUGGGCCGCGGCCUAUCAGCUUGUUGGUGGGGUAGUGGCCCACCAAGGCGACGACGGGUAGCCGGCCUGAGAGGGCGACCGGCCACACUGGGACUGAGACACGGCCCAGACUCCUACGGGAGGCA
This 231-nucleotide ribosomal RNA is filed under the name uncultured bacterium. RNAcentral describes it as "partial 16S ribosomal RNA". It matches the Rfam family "Bacterial small subunit ribosomal RNA", at positions 118 to 350 of the family's 1533-position model. The record is from RNAcentral.